GGAGGAUCCAAGCGUUAUCCGGAUUUAUUGGGUUUAAAGGGUGCGUASGCGGCUUAUUAAGUCAGGGGUGAAAGACGGUGGCUCAACCAUCGCAGUGCCCUUGAUACUGAUGAGCUUGAAUGAACUAGAGGUAGGCGGAAUGUGACAAGUAGCGGUGAAAUGCAUAGAUAUGUCACAGAACACCGAUUGCGAAGGCAGCUUACUAUGGUUUUAUUGACGCUGAGGCACGAAAGCGUGGGGAUCAAACAGGAUUAGAUACCCUGGUAGUCCACGCCCUAAACGAUGAAUACUCGCUGUUAGCGAUAUACAGUUAGCGGCUAAGCGAAAGCGUUAAGUAUUCCACCUGGGGAGUACGCCCGCAAGGGUG
This 367-nucleotide ribosomal RNA is filed under the name uncultured bacterium. Its description in RNAcentral is "bacterial SSU rRNA". It matches the Rfam family "Bacterial small subunit ribosomal RNA", at positions 527 to 896 of the family's 1533-position model. The record is from RNAcentral.